This 442-nucleotide ribosomal RNA is filed under the name Escherichia coli. RNAcentral describes it as "bacterial SSU rRNA". It matches the Rfam family "Bacterial small subunit ribosomal RNA", at positions 1 to 439 of the family's 1533-position model. The record is from RNAcentral. Lineage: Bacteria; Pseudomonadati; Pseudomonadota; Gammaproteobacteria; Enterobacterales; Enterobacteriaceae.
AAAUUGAAGAGUUUGAUCAUGGCUCAGAUUGAACGCUGGCGGCAGGCCUAACACAUGCAAGUCGAACGGUAACAGGAAGAAGCUUGCUUCUUUGCUGACGAGUGGCGGACGGGUGAGUAAUGUCUGGGAAACUGCCUGAUGGAGGGGGAUAACUACUGGAAACGGUAGCUAAUACCGCAUAACGUCGCAAGACCAAAGAGGGGGACCUUCAGGCCUCUUGCCAUCGGAUGUGCCCAGAUGGGAUUAGCUAGUAGGUGGGGUAAUGGCUCACCUAGGCGACGAUCCCUAGCUGGUCUGAGAGGAUGACCAGCCACACUGGAACUGAGACACGGUCCAGACUCCUACGGGAGGCAGCAGUGGGGAAUAUUGCACAAUGGGCGCAAGCCUGAUGCAGCCAUGCCGCGUGUAUGAAGAAGGCCUUCGGGUUGUAAAGUACUUUCAG